Molecule: ribosomal RNA, 372 nt
Filed under: uncultured organism
Description: partial 16S ribosomal RNA
Rfam family: Bacterial small subunit ribosomal RNA
Source: RNAcentral
GUAGGUGGCAAGCGUUGUCCGGAAUUAUUGGGCGUAAAGCGCGCGCAGGCGGUUCUUUAAGUCUGAUGUGAAAGCCCACAGCUCAACCGUGGAGGGUCAUUGGAAACUGGAGAACUUGAGUACAGAAGAGGAAAGCGGAAUUCCACGUGUAGCGGUGAAAUGCGUAGAGAUGUGGAGGAACACCAGUGGCGAAGGCGGCUUUCUGGUCUGUAACUGACGCUGAGGCGCGAAAGCGUGGGGAGCAAACAGGAUUAGAUACCCUGGUAGUCCACGCCGUAAACGAUGAGUGCUAAGUGUUAGGGGGUUUCCGCCCCCCUUAGUGCUGCAGCUAACGCAUUAAGCACUCCGCCUGGGAGUACGGCCGCAAGGCUG